GUGGGGAAUAUUGGACAAUGGGCGCAAGCCUGAUCCAGCCAUGCCGCGUGUGUGAAGAAGGCCUUCGGGUUGUAAAGCACUUUUGUCCGGGAAGAAAACCCUGGGGCUAAUACCCACGGGGAAUGACGGUACCGGAAGAAUAAGCACCGGCUAACUUCGUGCCAGCAGCCGCGGUAAUACGAAGGGUGCAAGCGUUACUCGGAAUUACUGGGCGUAAAGCGUGCGUAGGCGGUUUGUUAAGUCAGAUGUGAAAGCCCCGGGCUCAACCUGGGAACUGCAUUUGAUGCUGGCGAGCUAGAGUACGGUAGAGGGUGGUGGAAUUCCCGGUGUAGCGGUGAAAUGCGUAGAGAUCGGGAGGAACAUCUGUGGCGAAGGCGGCCACCUGGACCAGUACUGACGCUGAGGCACGAAAGCGUGGGGAGCAAACAGGAUUAGAUACCCCUGUAGUCC
RNAcentral lists this ribosomal RNA (450 nucleotides) under uncultured bacterium. RNAcentral's name for it is "partial 16S ribosomal RNA". It matches the Rfam family "Bacterial small subunit ribosomal RNA", at positions 354 to 796 of the family's 1533-position model. The record is from RNAcentral.